AUACGUAGGUGGCAAGCGUUGUCCGGAUUUAUUGGGCGUAAAACGAGCGCAGGCGGUUUCUUAAGUCUGAUGUGAAAGCCCCCGGCUCAACCGGGGAGGGUCAUUGGAAACUGGGAGACUUGAGUGCAGGAGAGGAGAGUGGAAUUCCAUGUGUAGCGGUGAAAUGCGUAGAUAUAUGGAGGAACACCAGUGGCGUAGGCGACUCUCUGGUCUGUAACUGACGCUGAGGCUCGAAAGCGUGGGGAGCAAACAGGAUUAGAUACCCUGGUAGUCCACGCUGUAAACGAUGAGUGCUAAGUGUUGGAGGGUUUCCGCCCUUCGGUGCUGCAGCUAACGCAUUAAGCACUCCGCCUGGGGAGUACGACCGCAAGGUUGAAACUCAAAUGAAUUGACGGGG
This 397-nucleotide ribosomal RNA is filed under the name uncultured bacterium. Its description in RNAcentral is "partial 16S ribosomal RNA". It matches the Rfam family "Bacterial small subunit ribosomal RNA", at positions 523 to 918 of the family's 1533-position model. The record is from RNAcentral.